GAAAUGCGAUACGUAAUGUGAAUUGCAGAAUUCAGUGAAUCAUCGAAUCUUUGAACGCACAUUGCGCCCCUUAGUAUUCUAGGGGGCAUGCCUGUUCGAGCGUCAUUACAACCCUCAAGCUCUGCUUGGUAUUGGGCCGUGCCGGUUAGGCAGGCCUCAAAAUGAGCGGCAGGACUCGUAUCAGACCUGAGCGUAGUAAUUCUUUCUCGAUUUGGGGACGGUGCGGCCUCGCCAAACACCAUAUUUUUUACAGGUUGACCUCGGAUCAGGUAGGGUUACCCGCUGAACUUAA
RNAcentral lists this unclassified non-coding RNA (292 nucleotides) under uncultured Lauriomyces. Its description in RNAcentral is "sequence contains ITS1". The stretch from base 1 to 105 matches the Rfam family "5.8S ribosomal RNA", at positions 50 to 154 of the family's 154-position model. Lineage: Eukaryota; Fungi; Ascomycota; Leotiomycetes. The record is from RNAcentral.